This 468-nucleotide ribosomal RNA is filed under the name uncultured bacterium. RNAcentral's name for it is "partial 16S ribosomal RNA". It matches the Rfam family "Bacterial small subunit ribosomal RNA", at positions 28 to 507 of the family's 1533-position model. The record is from RNAcentral.
GACGAACGCUGGCGGCGUGCUUAACACAUGCAAGUCGAACGGAAAGGCCCUGCUUUUGUGGGGUGCUCGAGUGGCGAACGGGUGAGUAACACGUGAGUAACCUGCCCUUGACUUUGGGAUAACUUCAGGAAACUGGGGCUAAUACCGGAUAGGAGCUCCUGCUGCAUGGUGGGGGUUGGAAAGUUUCGGCGGUUGGGGAUGGACUCGCGGCUUAUCAGCUUGUUGGUGGGGUAGUGGCUUACCAAGGCUUUGACGGGUAGCCGGCCUGAGAGGGUGACCGGCCACAUUGGGACUGAGAUACGGCCCAGACUCCUAGGGGAGGCAGCAGUGGGGAAUAUUGCAAAAUGGGCGGAAGCCUGAUGCAGCAACGCCGCGUGCGGGAUGACGGCCUUCGGGUUGUAAACCGCUUUCGCCUGUGACGAAGCGUGAGUGACGGUAAUGGGUAAAGAAGCACCGGCUAACUACGUG